RNAcentral lists this small RNA (567 nucleotides) under Pan troglodytes (chimpanzee). RNAcentral describes it as "processed transcript". The record is from RNAcentral. Lineage: Eukaryota; Metazoa; Chordata; Mammalia; Primates; Hominidae.
GCUCAGCCUAACUCCCAGAACUGGAACUCUAUGUCCAGCCAUGGAAAGCAGGGGGCCCCCAAGAAGCGGAAGGCGCCUCCACCUCCCGCCAGCAUCCCCAUGCCGGAUGAUCGAGAUGCCUAUGAGGAGAUCGUGAGGCUGCGGCAGGAGAGGGGCCGCCUCCUGCAGAAGAUCCGGGGCCUGGAACAGCACAAGGAACGGAGGCAGCAGGAGUCCCCGGAGGCCAGCUCCCUGCACAGCCUGGAGAGACAGGUGCAAGAGCUACAGCAGCUGCUGGUGGAGAGACAAGAGGAGAAGGAGAGCCUGGGACGGGAGGUGGAGAGUUUGCAGAGCCGGCUGUCCCUGCUGGAGAACGAGCGGGAGAAUACUAGCUAUGACGUAACCACCCUGCAGGAUGAGGAGGGUGAGCUGCCUGACCUUCCAGGGGCCGAGGCGCUGCUGUCCAGACAACUCAGCCCGUCGGCCCAGGAACACCUGGCCUCGCUGCAGGAACAGGUGGCUGUGCUCACCAGACAGAACCAGGAACUGAUGGAGAAGGUCCAGAUCCUGGAGAACUUUGAGAAGGAC